GUUUUUCUUUUCUGCAAACUUCCUCCAUCUUCACGGAUCAUAUUCACAUUCAAACAUUUUGUGCAUUUAAAUUACAUACGUAAUUGUGAGUUUGUGUAGAGUGUGAAAGGGGCCUGAACCAACAUUUGGUAUCAGAGCCUAGGCUCGUAUCGAGGAAGCCUCCGCCGCCGGCGGGUGUGUCGGUCGGUGGAGGGCAGUCAUGAAAAACGUCCAGCCCGUCGCUGCGGGACAAACGCAGCAGGAAAAUGGGUUGUUCAGGACUGUGUUGAAGCGUUAAUGGAAGCGCUAAGGUGUUUCGGUAGGCCGGUGUUGUGGUAGACGUACCGGUUAAGACGACGGGGGUGACCGGUGAUAAACACUUGUGUUCCGUGGCUGUUAAUAGUGAUCAAAAGAGGGUUCAAGGCUGUUCGGAUGUUAGUUGCAGGUUGGCACAACUGGUAUACAACCGGUGAUAACAGUAGAUUGUGAGAACGGGUACCUUGAUUAACUUGGUUCGUGAUAAGAGGAGACCGGCGUUUUGCGUGAUAAACGGGCGUAAAAGAUCCGUCAAAGUAGGUGGCUUUGGAUUUGUCUCGUUUGGCAAGGUGAGAAAACGAAAUAAGCAGGUGGUUUGUUUUCUUGGUCGGUGGAGAGGCCUCUUGAAUAAGGUUGAUCGGAAAAAGGUAUGGUUAGAGAAAAAAAUAACACGGGGUGACAUUAUGGCGUUGGAGUUGAAUCGGGUGGCUUUGGAUGUGACCGGGGUAGGUCGUUGAUCCGUGAAAAGUCGUGAUGUUAGUGAACGUCAUUUCCAACGUUAUGCCAUGUGACAUGUUACAAGCGUGGUCGGUUUGAUUCGGGUUGAACCGAGUUGAUUUUGGGCAUGACCGGUGGUGGUCAGGGUGUCCGGUAAAAAGUCGUGAUGGUUCGAAACCGAGGUGAUUCGUUGCUGCAGUGAACGGUGUGAACAAACCGAUUAAGGGGGUGAUGUUCGAUUAAUCAGUUCGUUAAUGGGUCACGGUUCGGCACGUUAUUGGGUCAAUGUCAGUUUUUGGUUACGGGUCAGAUGAGGCUCCAAACUCUAGUAGAAGAUAUGCAUAUUAUACAUGUUUUAUUAUAGGUGAAUUGAGUUGAAGAGUGGGUAACGUACCAGUUAUUUAGGAUAGAAAAUAGUGUUUUGUUAACUCACGUGUGCAUGUAAGGCUAUAUAUAAAGCCAUUGUUUAUUAAAUAAUAUUAAGUUUUUCUUU
Molecule: long non-coding RNA, 1225 nt
Filed under: Helianthus annuus (common sunflower)
Lineage: Eukaryota; Viridiplantae; Streptophyta; Magnoliopsida; Asterales; Asteraceae
Description: hypothetical non coding rna
Source: RNAcentral